UUCCGGUUGAUCCCGCCGGACCCGACUGCUAUCAGAAUAGGACUAAGCCAUGCGAGUCAACGUAGCAAUACGUGGCAUACGGCUCAGUAACACGUAGUCAACAUGCCCAGAGGACGUGGAUAACCUCGGGAAACUGAGGAUAAACCGCGAUAGGUCAUAAUAUCUGGAAUGAUUUAUGGUUUAAAUCUAUAUGGCCUCUGGAUUGGACUGCGGCCGAUCAGGCUGUUGGUGAGGUAAUGGCCCACCAAACCUGAAAUCGGUACGGGCUCUGAGAGGAGAAGCCCGGAGAUGGGCACUGAGACAAGGGCCCAGGCCCUAUGGGGCGCAGCAGGCGCGAAAACUCUGCAAUAAGCGAAAGCUUGACAGGGUUAUUCUGAGUGAUUUCCGCUAAGGAAAUCUUUUGGCACCUCUAAAAAUGGUGUAGAAUAAGGGGUGGGCAAGCCUGGUGUCAGCCGCCGCGGUAAUACCAGCACCCCGAGUGGUCGGGACGAUUAUUGGGCCUAAAGCAUCCGUAGCCGGUUCUACAAGUCUUCCGUUAAAUCCACCUGCUUAACAGAUGGGCUGCGGAGGAUACUAUAGAGCUAGGAGGCGGGAGAGGCAAGCGGUACUUAGUGGGUAGGGGUAAAAUCCGUUGAUCCAUUGAAGACCACCAGUGGCGAAGGCGGCUUGCCAGAACGCACUCGACGGUGAGGGAUGAAAGCUGGGGGAGCAAACCGGAUUAGAUACCCGGGUAGUCCCAGCUGUAAACGAUGCAGACUCGGUGAUGAAUAGGCUUCGUGCCUAUUCAGUGCCGCAGGGAAGCCGUUAAGUCUGCCGCCUGGGGAGUACGGUCGCAAGACUGAAACUUAAAGGAAUUGGCGGGGGAGCACCACAAGGGGUGAAGCCUGCGGUUCAAUUGGAGUCAACGCCGGG
RNAcentral lists this ribosomal RNA (912 nucleotides) under uncultured archaeon. RNAcentral's name for it is "bacterial SSU rRNA". It matches the Rfam family "Archaeal small subunit ribosomal RNA", at positions 1 to 922 of the family's 1478-position model. The record is from RNAcentral.